UGGUACCGGUGGAUCACUCGGCUCGUGUGUCGAUGAAGAGCGCAGCCAACUGUGUGAAUUAAUGCGAACUGCAUACUGCUUUGAACAUCGACAUCUUGAACGCAUAUUGCGGCCACGGGUUAGCCUGUGGCCACGCCUGUCCGAGGGUCGGCUUAUAAACUAUCGCGACGCCCAAAAAGUCGCGGCUUGGGUUUUGCCAGCUGGCGUGAUCUCCCCAAUCUGGUCUUGUGCCUGUGGGGUGCCAGAUCUGUGGCGUUUCCCUAACAUACUCGGGCGCACCCACGUUGCGGCUGAAAGCCUUGACGGGGAUGUGGCAACGGAAUCGUGGCUCAGUGAAUGAUUUAUGUGCGCGUUCCGCUGUCCUGUCUUCAUCUGUGGUUUAUGUUGCGCGUGGUCUGCUUUCGAUGCUGACCUACGUAUGUGCCAUGUGGUUCAUUCUCCUGACCUCGGAUCAGACGUGAGUACCCGCUGAACUUAAGCAUAUCACUAAGCGGAGGAAAAGAAACUAACCAGGAUCCCA
RNAcentral lists this ribosomal RNA (520 nucleotides) under Paragonimus westermani. Its description in RNAcentral is "eukaryotic LSU rRNA". The stretch from base 4 to 150 matches the Rfam family "5.8S ribosomal RNA". Lineage: Eukaryota; Metazoa; Platyhelminthes; Trematoda; Plagiorchiida; Troglotrematidae. The record is from RNAcentral.